Molecule: ribosomal RNA, 750 nt
Filed under: uncultured Arcobacter sp.
Lineage: Bacteria; Pseudomonadati; Campylobacterota; Epsilonproteobacteria; Campylobacterales; Arcobacteraceae
Description: bacterial SSU rRNA
Rfam family: Bacterial small subunit ribosomal RNA
Source: RNAcentral
GCGGGUAGUUAAGUCAGAAGUGAAAUCCAAUAGCUCAACUAUUGAACUGCUUUUGAAACUGAUUACCUAGAAUAUGGGAGAGGUAGAUGGAAUUUCUGGUGUAGGGGUAAAAUCCGUAGAGAUCAGAAGGAAUACCGAUUGCGAAGGCGAUCUACUGGAACAUUAUUGACGCUGAGACGCGAAAGCGUGGGGAGCAAACAGGAUUAGAUACCCUGGUAGUCCACGCCCUAAACGAUGUACACUAGUUGUUGUGAGGCUCGACCUUGCAGUAAUGCAGUUAACACAUUAAGUGUACCGCCUGGGGAGUACGGUCGCAAGAUUAAAACUCAAAGGAAUAGACGGGGACCCGCACAAGCGGUGGAGCAUGUGGUUUAAUUCGACGAUACACGAAGAACCUUACCUGGAUUUGACAUAGUAAGAACUUUCUAGAGAUAGAUUGGUGUCUGCUUGCAGAAACUUAUAUACAGGUGCUGCACGGCUGUCGUCAGCUCGUGUCGUGAGAUGUUGGGUUAAGUCCCGCAACGAGCGCAACCCUCGUCAUUAGUUGCUAACAGUUCGGCUGAGAACUCUAAUGAGACUGCCUACGUAAGUAGGAGGAAGGUGAGGACGACGUCAAGUCAUCAUGGCCCUUACGUCCAGGGCUACACACGUGCUACAAUGGGGUAUACAAAGAGCAGCAAUACGGUGACGUGGAGCAAAUCUCAAAAAUAUCUCCCAGUUCGGAUUGUAGUCUGCAACUCGACUACAUGA